RNAcentral lists this ribosomal RNA (253 nucleotides) under uncultured bacterium. RNAcentral describes it as "partial 16S ribosomal RNA". It matches the Rfam family "Bacterial small subunit ribosomal RNA", at positions 524 to 776 of the family's 1533-position model. The record is from RNAcentral.
UACGGAGGGUGCAAGCGUUAUCCGGAUUCACUGGGUUUAAAGGGUGCGUAGGCGGACAGGUAAGUCAGUGGUGAAAUCUCUGGGCUUAACUCAGAAACUGCCGUUGAUACUAUUUGUCUUGAAUAUCCUGGAGGUAGGCGGAAUAUGUCAUGUAGCGGUGAAAUGCUUAGAUAUGACAUAGAACACCGAUAGCGAAGGCAGCUUACUACAGGAUGAUUGACGCUGAGGCACGAAAGCGUGGGGAGCAAACAGG